Molecule: ribosomal RNA, 556 nt
Filed under: uncultured archaeon
Lineage: Archaea
Description: bacterial SSU rRNA
Rfam family: Archaeal small subunit ribosomal RNA
Source: RNAcentral
AACUUCACACUGUGCGAAAGCGCGAUGAGGGAAUCCCAAGUGUUUGCUCGUAAGAGUAAACUGUUUCUUUGUUUAAAACGCAGAGAGAGUAAGGGCUGGGUAAGACGGGUGCCAGCCGCCGCGGUAAUACCUGCAGCUCUAGUGGUGAUCAUUAUUAUUGGGCCUAAAACGUCCGUAGCCGGUUUAGUAAAUGCCUGGGUAAAUCGUGUAGCUUAACUAUACGACUUCCGGGUAGACUGCUAAACUUGAGACCGGGAGAGGCUAGAGGUACUCCUGGGGUAGAGGUGAAAUUCUGUAAUCCUAGGGGGACCACCAGUGGCGAAGGCGUCUAGCUAGAACGGGUCUGACGGUGAGGGACGAAGCCCUGGGGCGCAAACCGGAUUAGAUACCCGGGUAGUCCAGGGUGUAAACGCUGCUUGCUUGAUGUUAGUUGGGCUCCGAGCCCAACUAGUGUCGGAGAGAAGUUGUUAAGCAAGCUGCCUGGGAAGUACGGUCGCAAGGCUGAAACUUAAAGGAAUUGGCGGGGGAGCACAGCAACGGGUGGAGCGUGCGGUUU